AUAUUAAAUAUUUUUAAGAAAUAUAAAUGAUACGAAAUAAAAAUUUAUACAUAUAAUUAUGUAAGUAUAUAAAGAGACUAUUAGGUAAUACUAGCUAUAUAUUAAAGAGAAACAUGAAUUUAUCAAAUUAAUUGGGAUAAUUGACUCUAAGAUAAAUCUUAAUAAAAAAAACGAAGUGAAUUGAAUUAUCUUAUUAGCUUCAGGAAAAAGAAAUCAAAAGAGAUUCUAUGAGUAGUGUGAACAAAAGUAGAAAAGUCUAAAUAAUAAGUAAAAUUGCCAUAAAGCUGUUUGAAUAUUAUGGGGUACCUUCCUCAAAGACUAAAUAUAAUAUAUAAGCGAUAGAAUAGAGUACCGUGAGGGAAAGUAAAUAACUAGUAGUUUUAUAAGCAGCUCGAGCGAAAGCAAGAGCGUACCUUUUGCAUAAUGGGUCACCAAGUUAAUUUUAGAUGCGAGCUAAUGCGUAGUUAAACCGAUCAUAUAAAUAAUGAAUAGUAUCUAAAGUUAGACCCGAAGUACAGUGAUCUUACCAUGGUCAGGACUAUAAAGGUCCGAACGGGUUAUUGUUGCAAAAAUAUCCGAAGAAUUGUGGUAAGUAUAGUGAAAGACAAUUCUUGACUGUAUUAGCUGGUUUUCUGCGAAACCUAUACUAGUAGGCAAUUUAAAUAACAUCUUAGCAGGUACAGAACUUAAUCUCAGACAAGAUGUAAAUACAUUUUCUUUUUGUACAAAUCGGGGAAUCAUGAGGAUUUUACCGGUGAGUUUGUGGACUCGGAAUGGUAAAGAUGAAUUUUAAAUUAUCAGACAUAUAAUGAUAAGGUUGUAUGUCAAAAGGGAAACAGCCCAGAACAAGAGUUAAGGUUCCAAAAUUAUUAUUAAGUGAAAUUAAGAAGGUCUAUAUGUAAACCGACAAGGAGAUUGGCUUAGAAGCAGCCACAAUUUAAAGACCUCGUACCAGAGCACUAGUCUACGUAAAAAGCAUUAAAAAUUUAACGGAUCUAAAUAAUAUACCGAUACCUUGUCUAUAGACGAUAAUAAUUAUUAUUAUCUUUUAUGGGGUAGCAGAACGUUGAGUAAAUUUUAGUAUUUUUUUUUAUAAAAAGAAUUAUAUUAUAACUCAAGUGAGAAUGGUGACAUGAGUAACGAAAAAGAAAACUCGCCUAAAGCUUAUGGUUAGGAUUAAGUAUCGGCCUCUAAGUUUAUAACCUAAGGGUUAAAAUGAUGAGAAAAUCUUAUUACUAUUAUAGACAACAUUUUUUAAGUGAAAAAUGGACUUGAAAAAAAUAGUAAAUAAAUUAACCGUACCUAGGGUCUACAACAAGUAAGCUAGUAGAGAAUACGAAGGCGCAUGAGAUAACAAUCUUAAAGGAACUCGGCAAAAUGACUCCGUAACUUCGGGAUAAGGAGGGCUCAUUUAUUCUGAUUAAUAUCAGAUAUAGAGGAAGAAUCAUAAAAUAGUGUUGUACGACUGUUUAAUUAAAACACAGCACUUUGCAGAGAUGUUAAAUCUAAGUAUCAAGUGUGAAAUCUGCCCAAUUCCGGCUAAUAACUAACUUAGUUAAAUUUAUAUAAAUUUAGUUAAUAGGGAACAACCGGCAAAUGGCGGCCUUAACCUGAGGGUCCUAAGGUAGCGAAAUGCCUUGGCCGUUAAAUGCGGUCUUGCACGAAUGAUGUAACGAUACAACAGCUGUCUCUAAGAUUGACUCAGUGAAAUUGGAAUAACUGUGCAGAUACAGUUUACCUCUAGAUAGACGAGAAGACCCUAUGCAGCUUUACUGUUACUAGUUAUUGAAUAUAAUUAAGUUUAUUAUUAGUUUAAAAGGUUUAUUGAUUAAAUAAAAGUGAAAGACCUUUAUUUACUUAUUAUAUUAAUACUUUAGUUGAACUGGACAGUGACUAGUAGACAGUUUAUGUGGGGCACAGACCCCUUAAAGAGUAAAAGGGUGUAUCUAAAAUAUAUAACUUAAAGUUUAUUUUAAUCUUUUUUGUUUGUUAUUAUUUUAACUUUGUUAUAUUUAAUCUUUUCUUUUGUGUAUGUAAAUGUAUAUUAUAUGUACAUAGAUAUAGAGUUAGGUAGGAUUUUAAUUAUGGUGUAAAUUAAUUGUAUAUAAAAAGACAUAUAUAUAUAUAUAUAUUAUCUUUAAUAGUUAUUAUAAUAUUUAAUUAUUAAUAAUUAUGUUUAAUACUUAUAAAGUUGAAUGGCUUAAUCUUGCUUUACUGUUUGAUUGACAACAAAUCUUACAGUCGCGUAAGCGGGGCAUUAGAUCACAAGAUACAAUAAGGAAAGGUCUUGGAUUAUUGGAAAAGCUACGCUAGGGAUAACAGGCUAAUUUGCGCAAGAGUGAACGCAAUGAGUGCGCGGUUUGGCACCUCGAUGUCGGCUUAACUUAUCCUCGUGGAUGCAGAAACUAUGAAGGGUACGACUGUUCGUCGAUUAAAAAGUUACAUGAGCUGGGUUAAAUACGUCGUGAGACAGUAUGGUUUCUAUCUUCUAGGGGGAAUUAGAAUAUAAUAAGGAUUAACCUUGUACGAAAGGAACGUGGGCAACGCCUUAUUUGUAAAAAGAAUAAUGGUUUUGUUAACCUAUGGUUUAUCUGUUGUUUAUGUGCCCAAAUAUUAAUUUAGGUAUAUAUUUUAUACCGGGAUGUUACUUUCACUUAAGUAAAUAUAUAGCAUAGGCAUAGCAGAAAAGCUAAGUUAGCCAGAGAUAAGUGUUGAAAGCAUAUAUAUACGAGGCUCGCCUUAAGAUAUUUCUUAAAUAUACGUAAAACAAUAUUACGAAUUUAAUAGGCUUAGUUUGUAAGGAUUUAGAGAUCUUUAGAUACUAAGUACUAAUUUUAUAAAUAACUGAAUCUUUA
RNAcentral lists this ribosomal RNA (2855 nucleotides) under Ceratocystiopsis pallidobrunnea. RNAcentral's name for it is "large subunit ribosomal RNA". It matches the Rfam family "Bacterial large subunit ribosomal RNA". Lineage: Eukaryota; Fungi; Ascomycota; Sordariomycetes; Ophiostomatales; Ophiostomataceae. The record is from RNAcentral.